GACGAACGCUGGCGGCGUGCUUAACACAUGCAAGUCGAACGGAAAGGCUCCUGCUUUCUGGGGUACUCGAGUGGCGAACGGGUGAGUAACACGUGGGUGACCUGCCCUGCACUUCGGGAUAAGUUCGGGAAACUGGGUCUAAUACCGGAUAGGACCAUCUGCUGCAUGGCGGGGGUGGAAGAUUUUUCGGGGUGGGAUGUGCUCGCGGCGUAUCAGCUUGUUGGUGGGGUGAUGGCCUACCAAGGCGUCGACGGGUAGCCGGCCUGAGAGGGUGUCCGGCCACAUUGGGACUGAGAUACGGCCCAGACUCCUACGGGAGGCAGCAGUGGGGAAUAUUGCACAAUGGGCGGAAGCCUGAUGCAGCGACGCCGCGUGGGGGAUGACGGCCUUCGGGUUGUAAACCGCUUUCGCCAGGGACGAAGCGUAAGUGACGGUAAUUGGUAAAGAAGCACCGGCUAACUACGUG
RNAcentral lists this ribosomal RNA (466 nucleotides) under uncultured bacterium. RNAcentral's name for it is "partial 16S ribosomal RNA". It matches the Rfam family "Bacterial small subunit ribosomal RNA", at positions 28 to 507 of the family's 1533-position model. The record is from RNAcentral.